Molecule: long non-coding RNA, 578 nt
Filed under: Mytilus galloprovincialis (Mediterranean mussel)
Lineage: Eukaryota; Metazoa; Mollusca; Bivalvia; Mytilida; Mytilidae
Source: RNAcentral
GACUCAAAAGCAGAUUAAAUAUGUUCCAUAGAAUAACAAACAACAAAAUUGCCAUACCACAUACUGACAUUAAUUAAAAGCCAAUCAAACACCAGGUCUAGCCACGAACAAACAUACCGACAAAUUCGAUGCAGCAAAGACAGUUACAAAUUUUCAUUUUUCUGCCAAACUAUAAAAGACUGGAACAAAUUACCAGAACCAAUAGCCUGCAGCACCACUACUGAGUGCUUCAAGGAGAAACUCACUAGAGAGAUGCUCCUUGACACUUACAAACACCUACAUGUAUAAAAGAGGGACGAAAGAUACCAAAGGGACAGUCAAACUCAUAAAUCUAAAACAAACUGACAACGCCAUGGCUAAAAAUAAAAAAGACAAACAGAAAAACAAUAGUACACACGACACAACAUAGAAAACUAAAGAAUAAACAACAUGAACCCCACCAAAAACUAGGGGUGAUCUCAGGUGCUCCGGAAGGGUAAGCAGAUCCUGCUCCACAUGUGGCACCCGUCGUGUUGCUUAAGUGAUUACAAAUCCGGUAAAUAGUCUAAUUCGGUAGGUCAUAUUCAUGAAAGGGAAGG